UGGUCAGAAUAACAUGAUUUGGCCCUGUGUCC
Molecule: non-coding RNA, 32 nt
Filed under: Homo sapiens (human)
Lineage: Eukaryota; Metazoa; Chordata; Mammalia; Primates; Hominidae
Source: RNAcentral